This 3097-nucleotide unclassified non-coding RNA is filed under the name Hevea brasiliensis (rubber tree). The record is from RNAcentral. Lineage: Eukaryota; Viridiplantae; Streptophyta; Magnoliopsida; Malpighiales; Euphorbiaceae.
AUGGUCAACAAGUAUCCUACCAGCAAAAAGGAGAUACAGAGAGGCAGGGAAUAUUUGAAAAGUUAUUGAUUCAUGGUUAUCAAUUCAUUCAUAAUGUUGAAUUAAAUAUUACAACAAAUUUGGAGAAACCCUAAACCAUAAAUGGAAAUGAACCCAAAAAAUAAUAAUAAACUACAAAUCUGAGAAAAAUUGAACUGAAAAAAUUUUGGAGAAAUUCACACUAAGAAACCACACAUGCGCAUGAGGCCUUGAACAAUGCUUCAGAAACCUCAUUUGGCAUGUGCUAGGCUUUGGAAAUCUUGAUCUUGAAUUCAAACAUUUGGGGAAUCAUGGAGUCUGCACAUUUGAGUCCUUAGAUUUGUUCUCUUCAGAAGAUGGUCGGUUUUCUGAGUCAGAUUGUCUUAUUUCUUCGAUCAUUCGAACAACUUCAUCCAUGUUUGGUCGCAUGUCCGGCACCUUUGCUACACAGGCCAUCCCAAUUUGCAACAUCUGAACCAUUUCUUCUUCAAUAUUUUGGUAUCUCAUUAGCUCAACAUCGAAAACCUCAGCUGUCCAUUCCUCCCUCACAACUGACUGAACCCAUCGAGGCAGAUCAACCAUGUCGUCUCGUGCUGGUGAUUGAAGUGGAGCUUUUCCUGUCAGCAUCUCUAGCAGGAGGACACCAAAGCUAUAGACAUCUGACUUAUGAGUGUGUUUACGGGUUUCAAUCACUUCAGGAGCACGAUAGCCUGCACUCCGAGAUGGAGUUGCAGGAAUAUUCAUUAGAGGUGUCAGGCCAAAAUCAGAGAUACAACCAUUGUGAUCUUGGCUGAGAAGGACAUUUGAGGACUUGAUGUUCCCAUGAGUGAAUUUUGGACCUCCAGCAGAAUGCAGGUGGGCAAUCCCCCGUGCAGUUCCAAGAACAAUCUUCACUCUACUGUCCCAAUCUAGUGGAGUUCUGCCAGCUUGCCUAUUUCCAUGCAAAAGUGUAGAUAAGCUGCCACCAGGGAAAUAGUCAUACACUAGAAGCUUCUCAUCCUUAGAGUAAUAAUAAGCACGGAGGGGUACAACAUUUGGGUGCUGCCCAACCCUUCCCACUGUCUCCAUCUGCUGUUCAAAGUCCCUCUUUCCAACCACUACUUCCUUCAACCUUUUCACCACCACAGUUGUUGAUUCUUCCAAGACAGCUUUAUAAGCAGUGCCAUAACUACCCUUUCCCAGCACUUCAGCAGAAGCCCUUAACAAAUCCUCAAGAUCAAAAUUGUAAGAGCAGCCUUCAAAGAACACCAGCUUGUUUUUCUCAGGUUCUUGCACUCCACUCCCGAACUCCUCUUUGGGCUUCUCACCCCUUCCACUACUAACAGCCUUCCCCUUCAAUACCCUACUACCUCCAUCAUCCUUUUUCUUCAAACAGCAGCACAAAAUAAUUAGAGCAACAAGAAACAACACUGCAAACCCUCCCACUGCAAUGGCAAUGAUAGCUCCCAUUGUCAGUUUUGUUUUUGAACCCUGCUUAUGGAUUGCUGGUGGGGGAGGGAAAGCUGGAGAGGGCGAAGGUGGGGGAACAAAGCAAGGAUUAAGAGGCAGUCCACAUAAUAGAGAGUUUCCAACGAAGGAUGAAUUGGGAAACUUUUGAAGGGAUAAUGGGAUGGAGCCAUUAAGGUGAUUGUAGCUUAAAUUCAAACGUCUGAGCCUAGUGUGGUUAAGAUCAGGUAUGGAUCCAGAAAGGGUGUUGUUCUGGAGGCUCAAAACACUGAGUUGUGUCAAAUUUGCUAUUGAUUGAGGAAUGUUACCCGAGAAAAAAUUAAAUGAAAGAUCCAGUACAUUGAGUUGUGAGGAAAAAGAGGUGGGAAUUGUGCCAGAAAAGUUAUUAUGUUGGAGGUAAAGGUAUUGGAGUGACGGAAGAGAGGUAAUGUCAGAAGGAAGAUUACCAUUGAGCAGAUUGGAUCGGAGGCUGAGAACCAUAAGGGCAUCCAGUUUACCAAUUGUGUUGGCUGGGAUAUGGCCAAUAAACCCCACUGCAGGGAGUCGGAGCCGAAUCACACGAGUGCCAUUUGAAUUGCAAGUAACACCCACCCAAGAGUUGCAAACCGAUGAAGUGGGGCUCCAGUUGAGUAACCGAUAAUGAGGUACAGCAGUAGAAAAGUUGAGAAGGGCCUGCUUAUCUGAAUUCAGGUCAGCAUUAGCUAGACGAAAAAGAGUGACCAGGACAAAGAAGAAAUGAAAAACUGAAGCCAGGAACAACUUCAUGGGUAGUUAAUUUGCACUGGGUAUGUGACAAUGUAACCUGAUUCAACACAAAGACAAUGAAACAAUCUAAGGCAGCCAGCAAAUAAUGCAGUAAACAGGAAAGUUGCAAGAAAAAACCAUAUGAAUAUAUACAUAAACUUGCAAGCUAAAUUGCAACAAACUACCACGAAAGCUUUAGUCUCAGUUGUAACGCAAGUAACAUUUCACAUGUAAAUUGUAAUAAUAACAGUAUAUCUAGUUUCUGACAACCUCUAGCAUUUGCAACCCUUUGUUUGUCAAAUGGAAAUCUUAAUUAUUUAUUGUUUAGAAGUUUGAAGUUGAAAAUUGAAAUGCCAAUGCAUUAUAACUUCAGUUCCUAUUCUCAACCCACUAGUAUGGACCAAUAACUCAUCCCAUUACCACAAGCCAGUAUCAGCAAAACAAACACUUAUACUUGAAAUUUUGAGAACAUAAAAACUGGAAGUAGUGAAUGUAGCUUUUAUUCUCAGUGGAAUAAAAGCUGAACCUAAUCCUGUAAGGAGCAGGUAAAAUUGCAAUUUGUGAAGUCCAAUUUUGCAACUGCAGCGGUCUCAUGUUUGCUGAUGAAGAAAUAGCAAUAAUGAUAAUGACAAUCUUGUUUAUUAAGCACCCAAAACAGGGCUAAAUGUUUUUCCUCUGGAAGUUAAUCUCGACUUUUCUUAUGAGAAAAGUUGAACUCAUUCUCUAAUCCCCCAAUCUUGUUAUUUACAUCCAACUUCUAAAGAAAAGUUAAGAACAAUUAGGAGGAAAAAAAGUAAUCACACACCAAAAGCAAGAGCAAAAGAAAUCACACAGCAAAUAAAGCAAACAAAAGUACAAUACUUUUUGAUAUCACAUUCCAUUACUGAAA